UACGUAGGGUGCGAGCGUUGCCCGGAUUUAUUGGGCGUAAAGGGCGCGUAGGCGGCCACGCACGUCCGUUGUGAAAUCGCCCGGCUCAACUGGGCGGGGUCAGCGGAUAUGGCGCGGCUGGAGCAAGCUAGGGGGCAAUGGAAUUCCCGGUGUAGUGGUGGAAUGCGUAGAUAUCGGGAGGAACACCAGUGGCGAAGGCGGUUGCCUGGAGCUUUGCUGACGCUGAUGCGCGAAAGCGUGGGGAGCGAUCCGG
Molecule: ribosomal RNA, 253 nt
Filed under: uncultured bacterium
Lineage: Bacteria
Description: partial 16S ribosomal RNA
Rfam family: Bacterial small subunit ribosomal RNA
Source: RNAcentral